AUACUUACCUGGCAGGGGAGAUACCAUGAUCAAGAAGUGGUUCACCCAUGCGAGGCCUGGCCAUUGCACUCCGGUGGCUGACCUAUCGAAUUCCCCAAAUGUGGAAUCUCGACUGCAUAAUUUGUGUAGUGGGACUGCGUUCGCGCUCUCCCCUG
Molecule: small nuclear RNA, 155 nt
Filed under: Labrus bergylta (ballan wrasse)
Lineage: Eukaryota; Metazoa; Chordata; Actinopteri; Labriformes; Labridae
Description: U1 spliceosomal RNA (ENSLBEG00000010885.1)
Rfam family: U1 spliceosomal RNA
About the family: U1 is a small nuclear RNA (snRNA) component of the spliceosome (involved in pre-mRNA splicing). Its 5' end forms complementary base pairs with the 5' splice junction, thus defining the 5' donor site of an intron.
Source: Rfam by way of RNAcentral